CCCUUAGAUGUUCUGGGCCGCACACGCGCUACACUGAAGGAGGCAGCGUGUACUCCUGGAUCGAAAGAUUUGGGUAACCCGCGAAUCUCCUUCGUGAUGGGGAUAGAUUAUUGCAAUUAUCCUUCAUGAACGAGGAAUUCCCAGUAAGUGCAAGUCAUAAGCUUGCGCUGACUACGUCCCUGCCCUUUGUACACACCGCCCGUCGCUACUACCGAUUGAAUGAUUUAGUGAGGACUUCGGACUGGGACCGAUGCGGCUUUCGGGCUGCGUCGGUAUUCUGGAAAGAUGUCCAAACUGUAUCAUUUAGAGGAAGUAAAANUCGUANCA
This 327-nucleotide ribosomal RNA is filed under the name uncultured eukaryote. RNAcentral's name for it is "partial 18S ribosomal RNA". It matches the Rfam family "Eukaryotic small subunit ribosomal RNA", at positions 1470 to 1796 of the family's 1831-position model. The record is from RNAcentral.